Molecule: long non-coding RNA, 1524 nt
Organism: Daphnia carinata
Lineage: Eukaryota; Metazoa; Arthropoda; Branchiopoda; Diplostraca; Daphniidae
Exons: 3
Source: RefSeq, a predicted model, not a curated record
UUCAGCUCCACCUGGCUAACGUAAUGAACUCCAUGGUCGGCAUGUUUUUUUCCCCAGAAAAAAACACAUAUUGACUCUUUUGGUAGGGGAGAAGAAAAAAGAAGAAGAUGAUGAUGAUGAUGGCGUGAAAGUGCUCGUUAAACGCUGGCUGUAAGUGGUCGAAUGCUCAGGUGAUGGGCUUAGACACUCGAAUGAAAGGCAAUAAAUUCCGCCCCGUGGGAUGGUAUCGGAGGAACCCCCCUUUGAAAGCCCUAGAGUUCCCCCACGGGCUGUUUUCUACCUGGGUUUUUGCCCCUCUCGAUGUCCCUGAUCUAUCGGAAUAAUUGUUGAUGGAUUUUCGGCGAAUGAAGAAAAAAAAAACAGGUUUUGGCUUCCAUCAUCUCUUAACGCCUUGUAGAUUUAUUUUUUUUUUUUUGUUAUUUUUACCGUAAACCAGAGACCUGCCGGAAGACAAGUGGGCCCGCGUGGAGUGAAAAGUAGACCACAAACAGGUAGAUGAACAAAAUUGGAUGAAGGAGAGGAAAGAAAAAAAGCGCAUAAAAAGAAGUAAAAGAAGGAGGUGGUGUUGGCGAGAAGAAUUAGUUGACCGAUGGACUGGAGACAAUGCCCUGUGACACGUUGCCCGGAGCGCAGCCGGGGUGUCCGAAUCAACAUAGAGAGCUGAGCGCCAUUUUGUUUUGGCCACUGACCUUUUUAUCAUCCGGCUACGAUGGUGGCUGCUGCCGCCCGCUGCUGGUAAUGCUGGUGGCGAAUGGUAUUUAUUUUCCCUUUUUUUUUCUCUUCUUUUUAUUUGUUAAGAGAAGAAAAAAAAAAGGGAAACGAAAAGGUGAUGGGCCAAGCUCUUCUCCUUUCAACUCCUUUUUUUUUUCUUUCGUUCUUUAUUUUCGUUUUCAAUGCCAAGGGCCGAACAGUCAGGGCGGUUAAUCUCUAUGAACGAUCUUGGGACGAUCUGGCAGCGGGAGUACCAGUAAUAUAACAAGACGACGAAGCCAUGAAGUUAUGUUGCGAGCGGAUCACAGUCCGCCAACCGCUCCCGGAUCGGAUUGUUAUUCUACACUAACCGAUUGCCCGGGCGCCAGUAGGACCCUCGGCUUUUGCUUCGCUUAAAUGAAAGGUGAUUCGCAGCAGUUUCAAAUGACCGCCCAGUUAGGGAGAGGUAAGACCCUACCUCUUCUCCUUUUACCUUCCUUUCUUUCCACCCCCGAUCUCCCGUGUUUCCUUCUUUUUUAUUAUUCCCCCCUCUCUGGCCGUUGUUUUUGUUGUCGAUCGGCUGGAAUGGCGGGAAAAAACGGACGCACACACACACAGGGCUAUUCGUUUGAUAACUUUGGCCUUAACACACACACACACACACACACACUGGGUAGAAUAAUCCGCGGUUUUUUACGGCAAAAACAAUUCUCCCGAUGUUCAGCCACUGCAAACUUCUUCUUUUCUUUUUUAUCUGGUUGAACUUUAGCUGGCCAGCAGCCGUUGCCGCCUUCGUGUCCUUCAAGUGAAAGUGUGUCGCUGAAUCUCCAAAAA